This 253-nucleotide ribosomal RNA is filed under the name uncultured bacterium. RNAcentral describes it as "partial 16S ribosomal RNA". It matches the Rfam family "Bacterial small subunit ribosomal RNA", at positions 524 to 776 of the family's 1533-position model. The record is from RNAcentral.
UACGUAGGGGGCUAGCGUUGUCCGGAAUCAUUGGGCGUAAAGCGCGUGUAGGCGGUCCGGUAAGUCCGCUGUGAAAGUCGGGGGCUCAACCCUCGAAUGCCGGUGGAUACUGUCGGGCUAGAGUGCGGAAGAGGCGAGUGGAAUUCCCGGUGUAGCGGUGAAAUGCGCAGAUAUCGGGAAGAACACCCGUGGCGAAGGCGGCUCUCUGGAACGCAACCGACGCUGAGACGCGAAAGCGUGGGGAGCAAACAGG